CUCCUACGGGAGGCAGCAGUGGGGAAUAUUGCACAAUGGGCGGAAGCCUGAUGCAGCAACGCCGCGUGCGGGAUGACGGCCUUCGGGUUGUAAACCGCUUUCGCCUGUGACGAAGCGUGAGUGACGGUAAUGGGUAAAGAAGCACCGGCUAACUACGUGCCAGCAGCCGCGGUGAUACGUAGGGUGCGAGCGUUGUCCGGAUUUAUUGGGCGUAAAGGGCUCGUAGGUGGUUGAUCGCGUCGGAAGUGUAAUCUUGGGGCUUAACCCUGAGCGUGCUUUCGAUACGGGUUGGCUUGAGGAAGGUAGGGGAGAAUGGAAUUCCUGGUGGAGCGGUGGAAUGCGCAGAUAUCAGGAGGAACACCAGUGGCGAAGGCGGUUCUCUGGGCCUUUCCUGACGCUGAGGAGCGAAAGCGUGGGGAGCGGACAGGCUUAGAUACCCUGGUAGUCCACGCUGUAAACGGUGGGUACUAGGUGUGGGGUCCAUUCCACGGGUUCCGUGCCGUAGCUAACGCUUUAGGUACCCGCCUGGGGAGUACGGCCGCAAGGCUAAAACUCAAAGGAAUUGACGG
This 569-nucleotide ribosomal RNA is filed under the name uncultured bacterium. RNAcentral's name for it is "bacterial SSU rRNA". It matches the Rfam family "Bacterial small subunit ribosomal RNA", at positions 336 to 916 of the family's 1533-position model. The record is from RNAcentral.